GACGAACGCUGGCGGCGUGCUUAACACAUGCAAGUCGAACGGAAAGGCCCUGCUUUUGUGGGGGGCUCGAGUGGCGAACGGGUGAGUAACACGUGAGUAACCUGCCCUGGACUUUGGGAUAACUUCAGGAAACUGGGGCUAAUACCGUAUAGGAGCUCCUGCGGCAUGGUGGGGGUUGGAAAGUUUCGGCGGUUGGGGAUGGACUCGCGGCUUAUCAGCUUGUUGGUGGGGUAGUGGCUUACCAAGGCUUUGACGGGUAGCCGGCCUGAGAGGGUGACCGGCAACAUUGGGACUGAGAUACGGCCCAGACUCCUACGGGAGGCAGCAGUGGGGAAUAUUGCACAAUGGGCGGAAGCCUGAUGCAGCAACGCCGCGUGCGGGAUGACGGCCUUCGGGUUGUAAACCGCUUUCGCCUGUGACGAAGCGUGAGUGACGGUAAUGGGUAAAGAAGCACCGGCUAACUACGUG
Molecule: ribosomal RNA, 468 nt
Filed under: uncultured bacterium
Lineage: Bacteria
Description: partial 16S ribosomal RNA
Rfam family: Bacterial small subunit ribosomal RNA
Source: RNAcentral